This 81-nucleotide transfer RNA is filed under the name Pyrinomonadaceae bacterium. RNAcentral describes it as "tRNA-Lys". It matches the Rfam family "tRNA". From Rfam's summary of the family: Transfer RNA (tRNA) molecules are approximately 80 nucleotides in length. The record is from RNAcentral. Lineage: Bacteria; Pseudomonadati; Acidobacteriota; Blastocatellia; Blastocatellales; Pyrinomonadaceae.
GAGUCAAUUAGAGUCGCGUAAAGUGAUUGGUACUGGCUUUUAACCAGUGGGUCGCAGGUUAGACUCCUGCUUGGCUCACCA